This is a long non-coding RNA of Canis lupus familiaris (dog), 868 nucleotides long. RefSeq lists it as uncharacterized. Lineage: Eukaryota; Metazoa; Chordata; Mammalia; Carnivora; Canidae. The transcript is spliced from 3 exons. The record is from RefSeq and is a predicted model, not a curated record.
GGAACCCCCGCAACCAGGGGAGGCUCCAGGGCGGCACGGGGACCUCGGGGACGGGGAUCCCCGGGUCCGGACGAGGCCCCGCCCUGCCCCCCGGGCCCUGCUGGUCACCUUGCUGCUGAGAUCACCGGAACACAGUUUCUGGACUGGUUCCCAUCCGACUCCGGCCUGCUGUGAGCUCCCUGAACUACAGCUGAAGAAAUAGAAGAUUGAUACCUGAAUGCAUUAAAGAGAAGGCUAGGGAAAGCCCAUCAUGUUUAUCCUGCCGGAUGACUGUCUUUCAAAGUUCAGCUCCAUCACAUCCUGUAGCAGAUGUUGGGGAUAAAAUGGUGAGCGAAAGCAAGCACGUAAAAAAGAACUGCUUAGGAUUCACUUUAGCAAUCAGUGACAGAGCCCCUAAAAUAACAAUGGCUUAAGCAUGAUAGAAUUUUAUUUUUCUCUCAUCAAACUGUUCAGAUCUAUGAUCUAGACUUGGAGUGAUAGAAUUAGGCUUCUCUACCUUGCUGCUCUGUCAACCUCAUCCUGCAGCUAUCACUUGAUUCAGAUGUCUGCCGCAGCUCUGAUUCUCUUGUUUAAGCCAAAAGGAAAGAAGAAAGGAGAAAGAGAUAAGUAUUUAUCUUCUCUUUACAGUCACUUCUGAAAGUCAUAUUUAUCACUUUCACCCUUUCCAGAACUUAGUUAUACAACUACGACUAGUCUUCGUUAGUGGCAGCCAGAUGCCCGGCCAAAAAUUGAAGAAAGACAGACAUAUAUUGAGAGCAAUGGACUGUGUUGCAGAAGGAAGAGAAUCAGAAUGAAUAUUUCAGCCUCAGGGCUGAAAAAUAGAGUUGGAUAGAAGUAAUUGCUCUUUUAAUGUCUUUUAAAAUCUUCA